GAAAUGCGAUAACUAAUGUGAAUUGCAGAAUUCAGUGAAUCAUCGAAUCUUUGAACGCACAUUGCGCUCCUUGGUAUUCCUUGGAGCAUGCCUGUUUGAGUAUCAUGAAAUCUUCAAAGUAAAUCUUUUGUUAACUCAAUUGGUUUCUACUUUGGUAUUGGAGGUCUUUGCAGCUUCACACCUGCUCCUCUUUGUUCAUUAGCUGGAUCUCAGUGUUAUGCUUGGUUCCACUCGGCGUGAUAAGUUAUCUAUCGCUGAGGACACUGUAAAAGGUGGCCAAGGUAAAUGCAGAUGAACCGCUUCUAAUAGUCCAUUGACUUGGACAAUACUUUUAUGAUCUGAUCUCAAAUCAGGUAGGACUACCCGCUGAACUUAAGC
This 378-nucleotide unclassified non-coding RNA is filed under the name plant metagenome. RNAcentral's name for it is "partial contains 5.8S ribosomal RNA, internal transcribed spacer 2, and large subunit ribosomal RNA". The stretch from base 1 to 105 matches the Rfam family "5.8S ribosomal RNA", at positions 50 to 154 of the family's 154-position model. The record is from RNAcentral.